This 376-nucleotide ribosomal RNA is filed under the name uncultured bacterium. RNAcentral describes it as "bacterial SSU rRNA". It matches the Rfam family "Bacterial small subunit ribosomal RNA", at positions 524 to 898 of the family's 1533-position model. The record is from RNAcentral.
UACGUAGGUGGCAAGCGUUGUCCGGAUUUACUGGGCGUAAAGGGAGCGUAGGCGGAUACUUAAGUGGGAUGUGAAAUACCUGGGCUUAACUUGGGUGCUGCAUUCCAAACUGGGUGUCUAGAGUGUUGGAGAGGAAAGUGGAAUUCCUAGUGUAGCGGUGAAAUGCGUAGAGAUUAGGAAGAACACCAGUGGCGAAGGCGACUUUCUGGACAAUAACUGACGCUGAGGCUCGAAAGCGUGGGGAGCAAACAGGAUUAGAUACCCUGGUAGUCCACGCCGUAAACGAUGGGCACUAGGUGUAGGAGGUAUCGACUCCUCUUGUGCCGCCGUUAACACAAUAAGUACCCCGCCUGGGGAGUACGGUCGCAAGAUUAAA